RNAcentral lists this transfer RNA (83 nucleotides) under Claviceps sp. LM220 group G6. RNAcentral describes it as "tRNA-Lys". It matches the Rfam family "tRNA". Rfam says of the family: Transfer RNA (tRNA) molecules are approximately 80 nucleotides in length. Their secondary structure includes four short double-helical elements and three loops (D, anti-codon, and T loops). The record is from RNAcentral. Lineage: Eukaryota; Fungi; Ascomycota; Sordariomycetes; Hypocreales; Clavicipitaceae. RNAcentral also lists the same sequence under 2 other names.
GCCCGGUUAGCUCAAUCGGUAGAGCGUGAGACUCUUACCACACCGUAAUCUCAAGGUUGCGGGUUCGACCCCCGCAUCGGGCU